GGUGGCUCAGUAGUAGAGUACUUGCCUUGCAUGCAUGAAACCUUGGGUUCGAUUCCUCAGCACCA
This 65-nucleotide transfer RNA is filed under the name Dipodomys ordii (Ord's kangaroo rat). It matches the Rfam family "tRNA". Rfam says of the family: Transfer RNA (tRNA) molecules are approximately 80 nucleotides in length. Lineage: Eukaryota; Metazoa; Chordata; Mammalia; Rodentia; Heteromyidae. The record is from Rfam by way of RNAcentral.